RNAcentral lists this unclassified non-coding RNA (3052 nucleotides) under Hevea brasiliensis (rubber tree). The record is from RNAcentral. Lineage: Eukaryota; Viridiplantae; Streptophyta; Magnoliopsida; Malpighiales; Euphorbiaceae.
GGUUGAUAGAAAAGGAAGAAAUGGAGGGCAAAGUUCUUCAAUUCCUCAAUUCAAACCCACUUCCAUCAACCAUCCCCGUCUUCAAAAACCUUUCUUCAACAAUAACAACAACAGUACAGACUCCGGUUAUCGUACCUUGUCGGAGAAGAUCUCUCACACUAAAUUCCACCAACACCACAGGAGGCAACGAUGACCCUCCACAGCCAGCUCCAUCAAUCAUAACACCACCAGAAACUGUUGAGAUAAGGUUCAAAAGAGGCUCAAGAAAGAGGAACAGAAACAGAAAGCAGAGUGCAGAACCGGUGAAGGCACAGGCUGCUCCUGAUUCUCCAAAGAAGUGGGAGGACAUGAGCCUUUCAGAGAAGGCACUUGAGAUUUACAUUGGAGAGAAGGGAAUGCUGUUUUGGCUCAACAAAUUUGCUUAUGCUUCCAUUUUCAUUGUAAUCGGAGGUUGGAUACUCUUCAGGUUUGUGGGACCUUCUCUCAAUCUUUACCAGUUGGAUACUCCUCCUCUAUCCCCUACCAACAUGUUCAAGGGCUCGUGAAGUUCCAGUAAUCCCUCUGAGCUUUAGUUAUGAAAUGGAUGAUGAAUGCUGUUUUCCCUCUCUGAAGUUUUUGUUUCUAAAGAUUCUGUAACUGAAUCUAAACUAGCAUUAAACUAAUAAAGCAUUUCUCUAUUCAUUUUAUUUACUGCAUUAUUCCAAUUCCGAAUUUUUUAUUCACAGUUUCAAGCCGCAAUUGAAUUCCUCAUCCCUUAAAAUUUUGAAUACACAUAUUUUCCAGAAUCUUAGAAGAAUUAUCAAAGGCAAGAAUGAAUAGACAAUAACCAGACUGAGUAAAGCAAUAAGAAUUUACCUCAAUCUGCCGUUUCAGAUGAUACUCCAUAAUUGGAAGGAGAUUCAACGCCUUCGAAACGGCAUCGGACAGCUUUACAAUUGAUAGGAUGUCCGUAAAUCAGUUCCAGUAACCUCAUAAUGAUAAGUGAAAUCCUUUCCUUCUCUGCUUGUUCUCUCAUCCUCUGGUUCUUUGUGUCUAGUUUUGCACCCUUUUCGGCAGCUGCUGGCAACUGGCCACAGAAUAAAAAAAAAGGACAUUCUGUAGCAGCGGUAUGAUGUUAAUGCACUUAAAAUUUGUAAUUUAUGUGGCAUGAGUUUUGGUUAUGUCUUCAUGGAUUCGAUUUAAAAGUUUUUGCCCUUUAAAAUAUAAAUAUUGUAUUUUCUGAUCUUUUAUGUUGAGACUAGGAUUUGAGACUUAUGACUGAGUGAUUAUAUUUUGUGAAAUUUUUUUUUUCAUUUUGCCCGUCAACAAAAACUUUACAGUUGUGUGUUCUUUAGAGUUAGAUUUACUUACUUGUUAUAAGAAAAUUGGAACACCAUGGAGAGAGAAUCAAUAACUUACAAGCAUGCAGUGAAAAUACCAUCCCCUGUUUUUUACAUUUUGGCAUCCGCUGUUUGCAUUUUGUUGGGAUUGGCAUUGGCAACUGAAAAUAACCACUCUGCUAUUGGUAGACCACAACUCGAUGUGAUUAAGAUUGACCUAAUAUUGGUAAGAUUUAGGUCCUCUUUUCAAAGUGGAAAUGCGGUUUCUUUGUCAGUGAUUUGAAGCAAAGAAGGUAAUCGACUCAUUUCUUUCAGGCAAAACUUCAACAUCUUUUCCGUACAUGGCAAACCUUUCAAUUUAAUCUUCUCUGCUACCAUUUUGGAGGGUUUCGUGCCUACAAAUUCCGUUUGCAAUUUCAUCUUCGCAAGCAAGCUUUUUAUAUCUCUUGAGAAGGAUGUGGUGGACGAAAAUUUCACUGUAAUGCUACAAGAAAAAAUGUGUCUUUGAGUUAAUUAUUUGAAGAUCACACUUUUCUCAGUUUUACAAGUGCAAGCAAAUCCAAAUUUUACAUGAUUUCUGGGCAGACUUUCAACUGCUAACUGCUAAGCUAAGCGCCACUAAAGGCAAGGCUAUACAAAGAACCAUCAUCACCUGAGGCAUUCCUAUACAAUUUACAAAAGCAUUUUGCUAUGUGAAAGACUGAACCACCAAAGAAGUGGAGACUAAGCCCGAGAGAAGGCCAACAAUGAGAGCACUGUUAUAAGUAGUUGGUUCAGCUUGUACUGUGUUGUUUCGAGAGUCAUUAUAGGUUUCAUUGAAGAAGGGCCCUCCAACUAGAGCUCCAACUGCUACAUUUGGAUUAGGAUAGGGCGAGUCAAGCCACUCGAAUCCAUCUCCACACCCAGUUUUGGCAUCAACUGGAAUUGAUGAUCCUCUGUGGUGUACAUACUGAGGGUAGUCUUCUGCAUACCCAACAAGAAAACUCAUCUCCAUUGGAUUCUUUCCUAAGACAUAAUCUGCCUGCAAGUAUUUGAAGUAAUCAGGAAUCGUGUGACGAAGCAAUUUCUAUAUUAAUUUAUAUAUAGUUGCAUACCUGUGAGAGGGCAAAGCUACGAAGAUCAGCUGGACUGUAGAAUUUCCCGCUACAAUAUAAAGUUGGAAUAUGGGAGGCAACCAUGUAAUCACUAAACAGAACAGCUAGGAAUGCAGAGGCCACAGGGUAUUGCAGAGAAUUCCAUUUUAAAACCCAUAUCAGGCCAUCUGCAUUUACAGCACAAGGUUGUCAAUAAGCGAAACAAUGAGCAGCUUGUUUGCAGUCAAGAAAAAGAAGACUCACCAAUUAUUUUUAUUUAAUUUUCUAUUGUAAAAUUAAGAUCUUUUAUUCAGAUUUAUAUUAUAAUUAGGAAAUUUAAUUAGAAAGUAGUAUUUUCAUUGUUUAGGAAUUCUAUUAUUAUUAGGUCUAUUAUUUUUGAUCUUAAAUAUCUAAUUAGAUAUGAAUCGGAUUUCCUAAUUCUAUAAUAAUUAAUAACUCUUAAAUAAAGUUCUAAGCUUUCUAUACUGCAUUAUGCAUCAUCCAAGUUUGGUUUUGUCUUGGUUAUUUUAUUUUACGGUUAUCGGGUAGUGGCAAUUUUCUUUCAGUUAUUGGCUUGCUCUGAAUAUUAUAUACAUUGUGGAAACUGAAGGAAUGGCAACAAUUAACUUCUCAAAAUACUAUAAUUUCAAGAGAUCAAAG